UACAGAGGGUGCGAGCGUUAAUCGGAAUUACUGGGCGUAAAGCGUGCGUAGACGGUUAUUUAAGUCGGAUGUGAAAGCCCCGGGCUCAACCUGGGAAUUGCAUUCGAGACUGAAUAGCUAGGGUGCGGUAGAGGGAAGCGGAAUUUCCGGUGUAGCGGUGAAAUGCGUAGAUAUCGUAAGGAAGACCAGUGGCGAAGGCGGGUCUCUGGACAGGCCCUGACGCUGAGGCACGAAGGUCAGGGGAGCAAACGGG
This 253-nucleotide ribosomal RNA is filed under the name uncultured bacterium. RNAcentral describes it as "partial 16S ribosomal RNA". It matches the Rfam family "Bacterial small subunit ribosomal RNA", at positions 524 to 776 of the family's 1533-position model. The record is from RNAcentral.